This 253-nucleotide ribosomal RNA is filed under the name uncultured bacterium. RNAcentral's name for it is "partial 16S ribosomal RNA". It matches the Rfam family "Bacterial small subunit ribosomal RNA", at positions 524 to 776 of the family's 1533-position model. The record is from RNAcentral.
UACGUAGGGUGAAAGCGUUAAUCGGAAUUACUGGGCGUAAAGCGUGCGCAGGCUGUUUUGUAAGGCAGAUGGGAAAUCCCCGGGCUUAACCUGGGAACUGCGUUUGAAACUACAAGGCUAGAGUGUGGCAGAGGGGGGUGGAAUUCCACGUGUAGCAGUGAAAUGCGUAGAGAUGUGGAGGAACACCGAUGGCGAAGGCAGCCCCCUGGGUUAACACUGACGCUCAGGCACGAAAGCGUGGGGAGCAAACAGG